RNA transcript from Ruditapes philippinarum (Manila clam), 1073 nucleotides. RefSeq lists it as uncharacterized. Lineage: Eukaryota; Metazoa; Mollusca; Bivalvia; Venerida; Veneridae. The transcript is spliced from 5 exons. The record is from RefSeq and is a predicted model, not a curated record.
AAUAAACUAGAUUUUAUAAAUCGUUGAAAAAGGCACAGCAUGGGAUAUUCUACCUGUACACAUAAUUUGUUAUGAACUGUAACAAAAUUUCUGUAAACAGCCUUGAUUUAAAGCUCGUUAAAAGCUUUAAACCAAAAAAAACUUAAUAUCUGUGACCUCAAAUAACACAUCAUCGUUAAAUUCAAAAUAAAGUAUUUGAAAAACGUUUUAAAAUGCGAUCAUUCGCGACGCUUUUCAAUGGAUUGUGAAUAGAUUGUAAACAAACAACUUGGAUUUUAUGAGGUAGUUUACUACAAGCACGUGGGCAAUCUUUUUCGUCAAACUUACCUUUAAGGAAGACAGAAAAAUAGUUCAAAGCUAGCUAAAACUUAGGCUAAAAGGAUAGGAUAUCGUUCCCUAAACAGCACGAGACAUCCAUUCUACUUGCAAUACAAGCAGCUGUGUCCCAGGAAGAUAGUCUUUCCGGUUUCCUGUCACAUGUAUCCGUGGUCUUCCGUAACUCGUCCUCUGCAGUUGUCUGUCGGACCUUGCUGACUGUUGUAGCAAUAUUUAUUUUUAUCAUCGGUGUCAUUAGAUUUCGCGAGUGUCCAUAUGAACAAGAACUGCCAUUAUUUCUGGUGCUAGAAGGAGUUGCCAUUAUUCUUAAAACAUUUUUAAACUUAUUUAACACGUGUCACAGACGAACACACGAGGACAAUGAAAGGAAUACACUCGAUACGUGCACUGAUAUAUUAUCAAUUUUCUUGGUUUUCUGGACUUUAACCGGCUCUAUAUGGACAUUCGGAAUUUACCAGCACGUAAGGGAAGUAGCAGACGACACUGAGUCACGUGAUUGUAAUAAAUUAGUAUACACGUGCUCGAUAUGGUUUUUAAUAUCUAUUUAUAGCACUGUAUUAAUAGUUGUCGUCAUUGUUGCCAUUUUAAGUAUAUAUUAUUACAAUAAAACAAAUGAUACCAAAAAACAAUUACCAUAUGAAAUUCAUGUGGAGAGAUAGUAAAUAUUAUUGAAAUAUUGUUGUGUUUUAAAUGUUUGUUUGUAUUAUUUUUAUAAGUUAUUAAAAUGUUUCAAUGCA